AACAGGACUCGGUGGAGUGCG
This 21-nucleotide unclassified non-coding RNA is filed under the name Mus musculus (house mouse). Its description in RNAcentral is "oocyte_clustered_small_RNA11824". Lineage: Eukaryota; Metazoa; Chordata; Mammalia; Rodentia; Muridae. The record is from RNAcentral.